UUGGCACCACCUAUCUAACUCAGAUGGGUUAUUGAUCGUGAGAUGUUGUGGUAGAGCCGUAGACUGACCUUGAGCUUGUGGCUGAUGUUGAGAUUGAAUUGGAGCUUGGGGCUGACCUUGAGGUUGUGACUGAGCUUGAGGCUGAGAUGGUUGUGCAGUUGAGGCAGGAGUGGAAGCUUGAGAUUGGAGAGUUUGCAGAAUAAUGUUGAGAGUUGCUUGGCUAGCUGACAUCCCCCCCGUUACUUGAGUCUUGAAAGCAUUGAUUUCUGCCUUCAAAGCACUGAAAUCUUCCUUGACUCCAGCAAUGUCUUCCUUGACUUCAGAAAUGGUGGUCUCAAAGCCAGACAUGCGCAUAUCAACGUCUAGGUUGCGCUGCAGUGAGACAGGAAUUGGCACAGAUGGACUGCUGUUCUUGUACUGAACACUGCCAAGGCCGUAGAUUGUACCCUUUUUUGUCUUUC
Molecule: long non-coding RNA, 461 nt
Filed under: Brassica napus (rape)
Lineage: Eukaryota; Viridiplantae; Streptophyta; Magnoliopsida; Brassicales; Brassicaceae
Description: long non-coding RNA (BNAP_LNC026723)
Source: RNAcentral